This is a long non-coding RNA of Rosa chinensis, 1850 nucleotides long. RefSeq lists it as uncharacterized. The transcript is spliced from 6 exons. The record is from RefSeq and is a predicted model, not a curated record. Lineage: Eukaryota; Viridiplantae; Streptophyta; Magnoliopsida; Rosales; Rosaceae.
ACACGCUUUUCAAAACUAAAAAACCGGGGCAGACCCAACACAUAAAAUCCGUAGCUCACAGACCCUCUUAUCUUCAUCGUCCUUCUCCCUCAAUCCACUGUUCUGUUCACGAGUCAUGGUGGGUCGAGUCCUGAAUUCCGACCACCUUGGAUGACCCAUUUGAGCAAGUAACGGUGUCGCUCUACCUCUAUUUGCUGAACAACGAUCCUAGAGUUAACCGUCGUGUUAUGGGCUUCGAUAUCCUGGAUUACAGGUUUUUUUUUGGUAAGUAAGCUUUGAGAUUUGAUUUUGUCGUGGGAUUUGAGAAUUGGGGAUUUUUUGAGAUUUUGAAAUUUAUGGGUGCUUCAUUGAUUUUGUUGCAGGACCAUAUAGAGGAAGCUGAGAAAACAUUUUUUAUGCGAAGCUGAGCUCUCAAACAAACCCCCAAUCAGUAAUCAGUGAAAAGCGCUUUUCUUUUAUGGAUUGGAUUUUAAAGCUUGUGAUAUAUAAUGGAGGAUGUCCAGGAGCAGCAAAGUCAAUCACUUGGUUGGAAGACCUCUUGAUAAGCCAUGUGGUUGCAUUCUAGACUUGGCUGAAUCUAAUUGCUGACUUGGGUUGUUUGAAAUCUAUAGUUAUGGGAACCUUUUCACAACUGCAGGUUUUCAUAAAUGGUUUACACCAAGAAAACUGCCACUGCCAUUUACAUUGCAUAGGGUAUGAACUGCUUCUUGGUAUUUUCUUCUUCAUUCACAUUUUUCUUCAUUGGUCUUGAGCCCCCUUGCAGAACUUUAUUUUAUUUUUAAUUUAUUUAUACAGGGAGUUUCUCAAGGUUGUUGCAGAAUUAAUGGACGUGUUUUGCAAAAAAUCAAAAGCCUGAAGUGCUCUUUUCUUAUUUUAGUUUCAUUCGAUCAAUAACAAUGAACCUUUUUAAGCAGUUCUCUAGCAUCAUAGUUGAGAUAAGUUAACUUGCUAUUUGAUUUCAUCUGGUUCUUAUGGUGGUCCAAAACUAUUGAAAUGAAAACUGAGAAUAGAUUCGUAAAGAUUUGUAGCAUGUUGUAGCAGUUAGUCUGAUGUUAAGUGCAUCAACAGAAAGAAAUAGAUUCCUUGGAUAGUGACUUAAGACCAUUGCAUGAACAUUUAACUACUGGGAUAUAUUCUAGUUUCUAUCUCUGAGAAUAGUGAUAAAGUUACUUGUUUUUGUCUUCUGAAAGAAAAUGAAGAGAAAGUUAUGAUAUUUGAAACAAAAUAAUGUACACUAAAUAGAAAUUCAUGUCAGGAAAGUCAUUUAUAAUCAAUCUGUAGUGCUUACUCAAGAAGUGGCCGGGUUAUUAUAUAUAGGUUGCAUGAGUAUCCCUCCAUGGGCAACAAUGAGAGGACAGGAUGUAGAGCGGCUUCCAUCAACCUCAACUUGCUACAAUACUUUGUAGGUAUAGUAACACAGGGUUCAGAAGAGCUACCUACUACUACUUAUAUCUGCUUUUAACUGGUGUUGCAGCUUCCUACUUACAAGCGUCCAAGCACGUUGAGAGAAAAGUUCUAUAUGCAAUUAGUUCUAAAGCAGGUUUUGAACUUUCUUGAAGAUAAGCCUUCAGAAUCGUGAAGGUUAUCAUUUCAGAGGAAGAUAUAUCAAAGCACAUCAAUUACAAUUGUUAUAUGUGACAAGUUGCAUAAGCUUGUCCACCUUUCUCUUGGAUCUUGUUGUCAUGGAAGUAUUGAAAUUGUUUUAGGCUUUUAAAUUAGUUUUCAAGGGACAUGUACUUAUGAACAUGAUCAACAAGUGAUAAUGUGGAUUGUCCUCAGCAAUACAAUGUAUUUAGUUAAUACAAUUUCUAUUAUAUAGAAGUUUUAUUAGUAUUAGAGUUUCAUGUUCA